AUUCCACAGGUUCUAUGCCACAGGACUCAACAACUACCACAAUUUUUAAUACCGCAUCCACAUGCCCAAACAGAAUGGGUGGGGAUGGACAAAGGAUAUGCACAUAUUGAAAGGUGCUGGUCUUGGAUAAGGCAUAUGCUUCAUGCAACUGUAUCCACCAUGCUAGCAGCUUCCCUCACGCAAUUUCCUUAUCCACAGUCCUAACUCCAAUUACUUCCUGAUAGCUCCAUCCUACUGGGAUUUCUUCUCGUCCCUCGUUCUUAUCUGUCCAGCCGCCACUGCACAGUCCCCGAUUUGUAUCUGAAGAUUGUCACAAUGUGACAAUAAGAAAAUGGUUUAAGAUGAAAAGUACAAUAUUUUGAACUUUCCUCAUAUAAAUUGGAAAGUGUAAUUCACAGAACAGAACCACUAAAACUGAUUUCAGGCUCCCAGCACUUCAAUUCGAAGGUCUGCAUUCCGAGCCACAUUUAGAUGCCAAUCAUUCUUCGAAGACAAAAACUUCAGAAUCAUAGCAAUCGGACGCCAAAAACUCAGGAGGUAGUUGGCCUAAUGGUUUAG
This 558-nucleotide long non-coding RNA is filed under the name Setaria italica (foxtail millet). Its description in RNAcentral is "long non-coding RNA (SITA_LNC003265)". The record is from RNAcentral. Lineage: Eukaryota; Viridiplantae; Streptophyta; Magnoliopsida; Poales; Poaceae.